CACAAUCUGACCAUUGUGACCUAAUGCUCCCCCACCCCACUUGUGAUUCCGUCACCGGAAUUUCUUCUCAAGUGGUCUCUGAUCCAGAGAGACACACCCAGCGGCAGCCGUUGACUCCCUCCACCCUUGCUUCCCUCUCAACCAUCUCACCUCCAUCUGUCCAGUGGAGCCAGAUGUCCCACCUUCUUGGGAGAAAUUAAUUGAGGCUCAUUUCCAGGACAGAGGGGCAAGCUGGGUCUGAGGAGCCAAGCAGAAAAACUUCCCAAAAUCACUGGGUGGGGAGGGGUCAGAGACUUACUGCUGCCCCAGCUGUUCUGACUCUGCCCCCAGCUUUUGGCCCCACCCUUUUAAAGCACCUUCAGAGGUUCCCAAUGGUGACAGUAAACAAGUCUCCACUGUCCUGGCCAUCUCUGCUGUGUUCACCCUACUCCUGAUCUUUCUGGCUGCUCAGGGACUGACAGCCAAGAUGUGAGGCUGUGAUGAGCAGGAACAGGGAGGCCUGGAGCCCCCAGACAGAUUUGCAAUGAUCAAGAGGCGUCCUGUGAAUGCAGUUUGCAAAGGACUUAGGCACACAGCAUCUCCUUUGUUCUCACCACAAGGCUGCCGGGUGUGCAGAUGUGAGGAUUAUUUCAAUGGUGAAGAAGCAUCCUGAGAGGUUACGUAGUUCAACUAAUGUCACACCAAGAGCAGGAGAGCAUCUGGGCAUUUGGACAUGGAAGGUGUGGGGCACAAGCAUCUCAUGGCCAGGGAACGGGGGAGGAGCAUCUCAGAGCUGCAUCAGAGUUCAUGCUGGUCCUAGGACAAGAGUCAAGCACACCCUGCUUUCACCAGCUGCUGGUAGCUUUCACUCAGGUUCCCACUUUGGCCACUUAAUUCUCUGAACCUCUACUACAUGAAGAGACUAGAACUUGAUUAGAAAAAAAUGGAAUGACUCUUAAUGAGCAAGUGGAUGAAUAAAUUGUGGUAAAUCCCUACAAGUGACUAUUAGAAAGCGAAUGAGUAGAGUUAAUUAAUUCCAUAUUGACAUUGUGCACUGUUUAUGAUACAUUAUGUAAGAAAAAA
This 1062-nucleotide long non-coding RNA is filed under the name Homo sapiens (human). RNAcentral's name for it is "HSALNT0399702". Lineage: Eukaryota; Metazoa; Chordata; Mammalia; Primates; Hominidae. The record is from RNAcentral.